UACGUAGGGUCCGAGCGUUGUCCGGAAUUAUUGGGCGUAAAGGGCUCGUAGGCGGUUCGUCACGUCGGGAGUGAAAACUCGGAGCUUAACUCCGAGCCUGCUUCCGAUACGGGCAGACUAGAGGUAGGCAGGGGAGAGCGGAAUUCCUGGUGUAGCGGUGAAAUGCGCAGAUAUCAGGAGGAACACCGGUGGCGAAGGCGGUUCUCUGGGCAUUACCUGACGCUGAGGAGCGAAAGUGUGGGGAGCGAACAGG
This 253-nucleotide ribosomal RNA is filed under the name uncultured bacterium. RNAcentral's name for it is "partial 16S ribosomal RNA". It matches the Rfam family "Bacterial small subunit ribosomal RNA", at positions 524 to 776 of the family's 1533-position model. The record is from RNAcentral.